RNAcentral lists this long non-coding RNA (354 nucleotides) under Capsicum annuum. RNAcentral describes it as "long non-coding RNA (CANN_LNC020599)". Lineage: Eukaryota; Viridiplantae; Streptophyta; Magnoliopsida; Solanales; Solanaceae. The record is from RNAcentral.
UUUAUUUCUCUCUUGAUUCCUUGUGCUGAGGAAGACAGGUAGUUCCCAAAAUACAUCAUCAUAUCUCUUGCAUGCUUUGCCUUAACAUCCCCAAAGAUUGAUCUGAAGGUCUUUCUUUGGUUGUAACUUGGCUUUUGGAUAGGGUUAGAAAAAAAGGAUGGCAUGAGGCCCAAACGACACUUGAAGUGGGUUAGGACUUACAACUUUUGGAAUCGACUCAAACAAUGAGGAUUAACUUAUGCCCCAGUUUCUUUUGACUGGGUGAUUCUAAAUUUUUUAUUUGGUUGGACCGAGCCCUUAGUAGGGCAGCCUACGUAUCUCACCCCCGAGAGAGGAGAAUCAGGUCACGCGUAG